RNAcentral lists this ribosomal RNA (982 nucleotides) under uncultured bacterium. RNAcentral's name for it is "bacterial SSU rRNA". It matches the Rfam family "Bacterial small subunit ribosomal RNA", at positions 515 to 1496 of the family's 1533-position model. The record is from RNAcentral.
CCGCGGUGAUACGUAGGUGGCAAGCGUUGUCCGGAUUUAUUGGGCGUAAAGCGAGCGCAGGCGGUUUUUUAAGUCUGAUGUGAAAGCCUUCGGCUCAACCGAAGAAGUGCAUCGGAAACUGGGAAACUUGAGUGCAGAAGAGGACAGUGGAACUCCAUGUGUAGCGGUGAAAUGCGUAGAUAUAUGGAAGAACACCAGUGGCGAAGGCGGCUGUCUGGUCUGUAACUGACGCUGAGGCUCGAAAGUAUGGGUAGCAAACAGGAUUAGAUACCCUGGUAGUCCAUACCGUAAACGAUGAAUGCUAAGUGUUGGAGGGUUUCCGCCCUCCAGUGCUGCAGCUAACGCAUUAAGCAUUCCGCCUGGGGAGUACGGCCGCAAGGCUGAAACUCAAAGGAAUUGACGGGGGCCCGCACAAGCGGUGGAGCAUGUGGUUUAAUUCGAAGCUACGCGAAGAACCUUACCAGGUCUUGACAUACUAUGCAAAUCUAAGAGAUUAGACGUUCCCUUCGGGGACAUGGAUACAGGUGGUGCAUGGUUGUCGUCAGCUCGUGUCGUGAGAUGUUGGGUUAAGUCCCGCAACGAGCGCAACCCUUAUUAUCAGUUGCCAGCAUUAAGUUGGGCGCUCUGGUGAGACUGCCGGUGACAAACCGGAGGAAGGUGGGGAUGACGUCAAAUCAUCAUGCCCCUUAUGACCUGGGCUACACACGUGCUACAAUGGAUGGUACAACGAGUUGCGAACUCGCGAGAGUAAGCUAAUCUCUUAAAGCCAUUCUCAGUUCGGAUUGUAGGCUGCAACUCGCCUACAUGAAGUCGGAAUCGCUAGUAAUCGCGGAUCAGCAUGCCGCGGUGAAUACGUUCCCGGGCCUUGUACACACCGCCCGUCACACCAUGAGAGUUUGUAACACCCAAAGUCGGUGGGGUAACCUUUUAGGAACCAGCCGCCUAAGGUGGGACAGAUGAUUAGGGUGAAGUCGUAACAAGG